UGAGGCUCAGACAGAAGCUCAACAGCCGGUAGAAUUAAUUGCUUCGCAAGCACUUCCUUUACAGUCGAUUCCUUUCCAAGGAACAGCCAACCGAAGAAUCAAGUUACACAGGAAACGGUGCGGCAUGUCCAAUGCAGAGGCAUCUGAAAGCAACAUUGAUAAGUAUUCUGUCGAGGAAACUAAAUUACCAAGCUCUGAGGAGUUACCAAAAAGCGUGCUUGGUUUUUUCUCAGCUAGGAUAGGCAAUCACAAACUGAUUUCUAUACUUUUUAUUAUCCUGACUUUACUGGUUUUGGUACUUUCUUUGUUGGGAGGUUCCCAGCAAGUGAAAAGAAUCACAUAUGGAGCCCUGUACAGGGCUUUCUGGGAAUGAGCAAUGCAUGGCAUACCGUACAAGGCUUUCUAUGAAACUGUAAAAAUGUCAAAUUAGCAAGCAUUCUCUCUCUCUCUCUUCCCUUCUUAGCACUCUUAUUGUUUAAUGUCAGAGUACAAGUUUAAGCUUCAAGAAAGACUAUGGAGUUUGAGCUGUGGGAUGUGGGGACCUUUUGCAUUGUUUAGGGUUUUCACAGCGUAAAUUUGUUAAGAAGUAUUUUCUUGGAAUGACGUACACGAGUUGAACUUGACAAGGAGAAAAGCAGAAUUUGAAAAGAUCAUUAGUGUUAAUUUAGUAUAAUUACAAUUGCUAGUGUUUGUUCAGCGACUGGAGGGUAGCAUUUGGGGUUUUUUAGUAAAAAGGGGUUAUCAAAAAUAAAAU
RNAcentral lists this unclassified non-coding RNA (754 nucleotides) under Hevea brasiliensis (rubber tree). The record is from RNAcentral. Lineage: Eukaryota; Viridiplantae; Streptophyta; Magnoliopsida; Malpighiales; Euphorbiaceae.